AUGAUCCCGCGUGAUCAUGAAGGAGUAGUCAUCUUCGCCGCGACGAGGGUGCUCUUUAAUUGUGGUGAUCCACUAGAAGCAGAGAUGGCGGCCAUGGACGAAGGGCUUCGACUUGCGCUUCACUGGUCCAACUUGUCAUUGGUUGUGGAGACGGACUGUGCUGAUCUGUUGAAGAUGGUGCAAUCUAAAGAUGUUGAGUGUUCGAGUUAUUCCCUUCCACUAGUAGUCCAGAGGGGAAGAAACUUGUCAGCUGACCAGAUAAGCACUACUUCAGUUCACUAA
Molecule: ribosomal RNA, 282 nt
Filed under: Triticum aestivum (bread wheat)
Lineage: Eukaryota; Viridiplantae; Streptophyta; Magnoliopsida; Poales; Poaceae
Description: partial small subunit ribosomal RNA
Source: RNAcentral